GGCUCAGUAAAUGGCAAGAAAUACUUCAGUUGCAAACCUCAACAUGGCCUCAUGGUUCGCCCGAGUCGAGCCACUUGUCGAGGAAUCAAUUGCGCCAAGUUAAUCAACGAAAUGGAAUCUGGACUUCUUGCGUAACACUAGUGGCAAUCCCGAGAGGUGCCGAAGAUUGUCAGCGACUACUUGUCAACGAUGUUUGAGUCUUGGGUUUUGGCUGGGAGUACAUGCUUUGUUUUUCCGAGAGUGUCCCGAAGAUUGUCCGACAACGGUAGACAUAGACACCGAAUGGUACAGGAAGCAAAUCGAAGCCGACUAUAUCUCGACGAAUGUCGAAGACAAGAGAGGGUCAAGGUACUUUAUAAUACCUUGAUCUUCUCUUGCCGAAGAUAAAUAUUAUCACAAAAGUGGUUUCACCCAAGACGAGUUCGCUGCGAACUUACUGAACGUAAAAAGAUAUGUUUGACUUUUCUCACUGAGUAGCUUUUAACAUCUUUUAGUCUCCUAUUUCAGAUAAAGAUGGCCGUUACACAUACAUGCGCAAAUUAAUUUAAGUUAAAAAAAAAUAUCCGUUCUGAAGAAUAGCUCGUGUCAGUCAGUUCGCAAAAUAUUUGCAUUAUCGGAAAGUUGCGUGUUUUUAGUCCUAUGAUAUUCAGAUAUCCUUUUGUAGUAGUCAUCAAAGUCCUCUAAAAAAUCUUACGUUUUUAUGGCGUCACUAUGAUACAUGUUGGUCGUUUUGUCAACCGAUUAACUGCAAAUUCUGUCAUAACUAUAUUAGUUUUGCAUUAGAUUGCUAAUUGCAUUAGUAACACCAAACUCGUCACCCGCAGCUUCACGUGUCGAAAGUCAAACUGGUGCGGGUGAUUUUGGUUUACCGCUGUGUUUUAGGUUUUACAAGUCAUAAGGAAACUGCUCUGUCGUGAAAGUGCAAUUGCUAUGCUUUCAUUUGAGUAUUGUGCUUACAUCAACUACUUUCUUAAAAUUUAGCAGGGUGAACUCUUUGUAGGAAGAUAGGUCAUCUUUGCGCGGGAAAGGUUAUAUAAGCUUAGGAUAAGAGAAAGAGUCAUCGGCGCUAUUUUUAGUCUUGAUGAUUCCUUGAAGCUCAAUACUAAAAUCAUUAGACACUCAAGGGUGAUGGUUGGAUUUUGUUGAAUAGCGCUUAACAAAAAACAGGAAACUAUUAGAAGCAAACAUGGUUAAUGACGCUGGGGAUAAAAAUGGAGUAAAAACACGUUUGAAAACUCAGGGCUUACAUUUUCAAUGCUAAUUUUGUCUCAAAAUCCUUCCAAAUUUUGGAAAAAA
Molecule: long non-coding RNA, 1296 nt
Organism: Orbicella faveolata
Lineage: Eukaryota; Metazoa; Cnidaria; Anthozoa; Scleractinia; Merulinidae
Source: RefSeq, a predicted model, not a curated record